This 19-nucleotide microRNA is filed under the name Spodoptera frugiperda (fall armyworm). RNAcentral describes it as "sfr-miR-10454c-3p". Lineage: Eukaryota; Metazoa; Arthropoda; Insecta; Lepidoptera; Noctuidae. The record is from miRBase by way of RNAcentral.
GACUAUUCUGACACAAUUG